GGUCCCCUGAGGUUGAUGGGGGAUCUGGCCUGCUCUAUGAGGGUUAAAUGGCCGCAGUAUUUUGACUGUGCUAAGGUAGCAUAAUAAUUAGUCUUAUGAUUGGGGACUGGAAUGAAUGGUUUGACAAAGAAAGCGCUGUCUUGGGUUUAGAAGUUGAAAUUUGUUUAGGUGUGAAAAGGCGCGUAUGAAUCUGAGGGACGAGAAGACCCUGUCGAGUUUUAUUUGACUUAUGAUGGGAGAUUUAAAUUAAUGAUUUUUGUUUGAUUGUUGGAUUUUGCUGGGGCGGCAAUGAAAGAGGGGAUCUUUUAUUUGAGGUUGAGAUUUAUAGUACGAAGUUAAUUGAUCCACUUGUGUAGAGGUGAGAAGAGGAUUAAAUUACCGCAGGGAUAACAGCGUAAAAUUGUCGGAGAGUUCUUAUCGAUGAUGAAUAUUGCGACCUCGAUGUUGAAUUAGAAUGGCUGUUUAGGUGAAGGAGCUAAAUAAGUAAGUCUGUUCGACUUUUGAAUUUCUACA
Molecule: ribosomal RNA, 513 nt
Filed under: Musicodamon atlanteus
Lineage: Eukaryota; Metazoa; Arthropoda; Arachnida; Amblypygi; Phrynichidae
Description: partial 16S ribosomal RNA
Rfam family: Bacterial large subunit ribosomal RNA
Source: RNAcentral